ACGAACGCUGGCGGCGUGCUUAACACAUGCAAGUCGAACGGAAAGGCCCUGCUUUUGUGGGGUGCUCGAGUGGCGAACGGGUGAGUAACACGUGAGUAACCUGCCCUUGGCUUUGGGGUAACUUUAGGAAACUGGGGCUAAUACCGGAAAGGAACUCCUGCUGCAUGGUGGGGGGUGGGAAGUUUCGGCGGUUGGGGAUGGACUCGCGGCUUAUCAGCUUGUUGGUGGGGUAGUGGCUUACCAAGGCUUUGACGGGUAGCCGGCCUGAGAGGGUGACCGGCCACAUUGGGACUGAGAUACGGCCCAGACUCCUACGGGAGGCAGCAGUGGGGAAUAUUGCACAAUGGGCGGAAGCCUGAUGCAGCAACGCCGCGUGCGGGAUGACGGCCUUCGGGUUGUAAACCGCUUUCGCCUGUGACGAAGCGUGAGUGACGGUAAUGGGUAAAGAAGCACCGGCUAACUACGUG
Molecule: ribosomal RNA, 467 nt
Filed under: uncultured bacterium
Lineage: Bacteria
Description: partial 16S ribosomal RNA
Rfam family: Bacterial small subunit ribosomal RNA
Source: RNAcentral